GAUGAACGCUGGCGGCGUGCUUAACACAUGCAAGUCGAACGGAAAGGCCCUGCUUUUGUGUGGCGCUCGAGUGGCGAACGGGUGUGUAACACGUGAGUAACCUGCCCUUGUCUUUGUGAUAACUUCAGGAAACUGGGGCUAAUACCCGAUAGGAGCUCCUGCUGCAUGGUGGGGGUUGGAAAGAUUCGGCGGUGGGGGAUGGACUCGCGGCUUAUCAGCUUGUUGGUGGGGUAGUGGCUUACCAAGGCUUUGACGGGUAGCCGGCCUGAGAGGGUGACCGGCCACAUUGGUACUGAGAUACGGCCCAGACUCCUACGGGAGGCAGCGGUGGAGAGUAUGACACAGUGGGCGGGAGCCAGAUGCAGCAGCGCCGCGUGCGGGAUGACGUGCUUCGGGUUGUAAACCGCUGUCGCCUGUGCCGAGGCGUGAGUGACGGUAAUGGGUAAAGAAGCACCGGCUAACUACGUG
RNAcentral lists this ribosomal RNA (468 nucleotides) under uncultured bacterium. Its description in RNAcentral is "partial 16S ribosomal RNA". It matches the Rfam family "Bacterial small subunit ribosomal RNA", at positions 28 to 507 of the family's 1533-position model. The record is from RNAcentral.